GAAAUGCGAUACGCAAUGCGAAUUGCAGAAUUCCGCGAAUCAUCAGAUUCUUGAACGCAACUGGCGCUGGAGGGAUAUCCUUCCAGCAUGUCUGUUUCAGUGUCUGAAAACUUCCUAAUCAUUUUAAUGUGUUUGACAAAGGAGAUGAUUAUUCAUCCUUCCAGAGUCUUACAUGAAAGAUGUAUGUGUGGGUCUUUGGAUCCAUCGAAUUGGUCACUGAUUCUUCGGUGAUUUCGAUAGGAUAUCACCAAUUACUCGUAUACACAUAGAAUAAAAUAUACAUUCUUUAUCAUCUGCAUCUGAAAUCAGGCAAGAAAACCCGCUGAACUUAA
RNAcentral lists this unclassified non-coding RNA (332 nucleotides) under uncultured fungus. RNAcentral's name for it is "sequence contains ITS1". The stretch from base 1 to 105 matches the Rfam family "5.8S ribosomal RNA", at positions 50 to 154 of the family's 154-position model. The record is from RNAcentral. Lineage: Eukaryota; Fungi.